CGAUGGAGGGGGAUAACUACUGGAAACGGUAGCUAAUACCGCAUAACGUCGCAAGACCAAAGAGGGGGACCUUAGGGCCUCUUGCCAUCGGAUGUGCCAGAUGGGAUUAGCUAGUAGGUGGGGUAAAGGCUCACCUAGGCGACGAUCCCUAGCUGGUCUGAGAGGGUGACCAGCCACACUGGAACUGAGACACGGUCCAG
Molecule: ribosomal RNA, 200 nt
Filed under: uncultured bacterium
Lineage: Bacteria
Description: partial 16S ribosomal RNA
Rfam family: Bacterial small subunit ribosomal RNA
Source: RNAcentral